Molecule: ribosomal RNA, 253 nt
Filed under: uncultured bacterium
Lineage: Bacteria
Description: partial 16S ribosomal RNA
Rfam family: Bacterial small subunit ribosomal RNA
Source: RNAcentral
UACGUAGGGGGCAAGCGUUGUCCGGAUUUAUUGGGCGUAAAGAGCGUGUAGGCGGCCAUACAGGUCAGCUGUGAAAACUCGAGGCUCAACCUCGAGACGUCGGUUGAAACCGUAUGGCUAGAGUCCGGAAGAGGAGAGUGGAAUUCCCGGUGUAGCGGUGAAAUGCGCAGAUAUCGGGAAGAACACCCGUGGCGAAGGCGGGUCUCUGGGCCGAAACUGACGCUGAGGAGCGAAAGCAUGGGUAGCGAACAGG